UCAUAAAGGUUCUACAAAAAUAGAUCAUGCAUUCAGUAGGGGGGGUUUCUCUACUCUUAAAUGUAAAAUAUACUUGCGUUAUUGCAUUCACAAAAAUAUGGCUACAAGCACACAGACACCGAGAUACCACUCUGAUGAUGUAACGUCAUACGAACCAUACGCAUAAAAAUGUGAUCUUGAGCUUACUGACAUCCCCAGCUCUAUUUUUUAAAUUAGAUUUAUAUGUUUUCUUUUAUUUUAACAUUUGGCUGUAUAUACAGUUAUGGCCCGCAACAGCCUCCUAUAUACCAUACUCACACAUACACAAGCCAUGAUAGCGUGUCUAAGUGAUUCUCCACGAGAUGCCAGACAGAGCUGAGUCCUCCUUGCUAAUGCACCACAUGCUCUCCUCAACACCACUGAUCACGGCUGACUGUCUGGUUGGCUUACAGCUCAACCCAAAGCCCCAUGUUGGGAUUGAACAUGCUGGCUGGUAUCAAAGUCAGGCGCCACCCGAAGACAUGGCCCUGCAUCAAUAUGGCUACCAUUUGUGUACCAUCUUCUUUACUUCUUCCUCCCAAGUUCAGAAAGACACUGAGGUGGGGGGAGGAGGUUGGAGUUGAGAGAAACAGAGUGUGGGCUGACAGAGUGAGGAUAAAGGUAGAAUGGAUAGAUGCUGCUGCCAGGACCUGUCAGCGGUGACAAAUGGAUGUUUCGAAGAUGAAGCAAGCUGGUCCACUCAACGUUAGCUUGGCGCAGUAACACGGCUAGCUCCUACCAAAAGUGGAGGAAUGUGACUCCGGUAUUCAACGGUAUAUGAGACAUGAUUACCACCAGUGGGCCUCCUCCUGGAUGAUCCUCGCAUUCUUCUCCCUCCCCUUCUCCACUUCUCUGAUGUCCGCUGCCCUCCAGAGCAUGUAAAUCUCACCAGUAAAUAUUUCAUCAGGGUCAUGCAGAGUUUCCCCUUCUCUGGUGAGGUUAAUAAAAUUCGGAGCGUGUCUUUGCCAUCAGGAUCCGUCUAAUUAAAUCAGGAGAGAAAGCUUGCGGUACACACCUUCGCUUGCUUGCUUACCUAGUGCCAUACUUUCCAAAGAUACUGGAGGAAAAACGAAGAAGGGCUGCAGUGAUAAUUGAUGGGAGAGAGGGUCCGAAACUGCUCUCAAAAGAGAUUUAAGGCUGUUUUGUCCCUGAGCAGUUCAUCAAAUGAGAGCACCUCGACUAAUGGCUUUAAGGAAGUCAUUUGGACAAAAGUGUCUAUGUUUUGUCAGCCGUUCCACAUUAAGUGUCUCCAAACGUAUUAGACAGUUGCACUGAGGUCUAGAUACAACUGAUGACACAAAAGCCACCAAUCAAAUACAUUGAGAGAACAAGAGAGCAUUGAUUUCCAUGUGACAGGGAUUUCUGAAGUGCAAUAAUACGUUGCAACACAAUUCUUUUUGGCUUUGUAUUACAACAUCUACAAACUAUUACAUAGCAACAGCCAACAACUAUGCAUGUAUGAUUAUUACAUGAACAACUGAGGGAGGUAUCGAAGAAUGUAAUCUAGAAAACAAAGGAGACAGAGCUACUCCGACUCUUGCUGUGUUAAAAGGAAUAUCCCAAAACAAUAAAAGGGUUGGUCAUCUAUUAUCAAGGCUACUAGAGGUUAGGGAAAUGAGUGGAGUGAAAAAAUUCUUGAGGGAAUAAUCAAACUGUUUUAUUUUAGCAGGAUUAAUCCAAGAGAGACGGUUUUAAUUUCCAAAUCCCCCACAGCGGUGACCCAAAAUUAAUUGUUCCUUUUGCUACAGAGGGAGACCCCUUGAGACAGACAGAGGAACGUCAGAAAAAAAAUUCUGGGUAAUUACACAAGUGUAGAGCACUUUCCCGUGGAGUGGGAAUCUCGUUGGCCGUGGAUUAUGUGAGUUUAAUGGAAACGAUGAGCUGACCUGAGGCUGAGGAGGAGAGAAUUAGAGUGUUGACAUACAGGACUGCUGAAGCUGAGAAGGCUCCCACAAAUCAUGAGUGUCAGCAGCCCGGGCAAAUUAGGCAUGUCUAGCAAUGAAACAUUAUUCAUGGUUGGACAAUAUGUGCUGUGCAGAGACGGGUAUAAUUUUUCAAAACUUUGUGACCGUUACCAAUCCAGGCACAUAUAUGGGCAGAACAUUAGGUGAGGAAAAACAUCUGUGGACUGCAGUAUUUAGAUGGAAAAAUGCAAAAACUGGUGCUAUUGCUGUUUCUGGUUUGUUUGGUUCAUUAACAACAUUCUAAAAUAUUUCUAAAAAUACAUAUCAGACUUUGUCAGCAGCACAAUAAAGUCCUGGAUUUAUUUCCAUCAUUAUCCCUGGUAAACAUUUCCUUAAGGUAGAUAUACAAUCAGAUAUACAAUAACAAGGUUCAGUUCAAUAACAAGGUACAGCACUAUGUUUAGCACAUAUCAAAGUACAACAACUGUAUAUAAAACUUAUUUUAACGCAGCUCCUUUGCAGAGAUAUCCACCAAAACAACACGAUUAGCAUAUUUCCUCUGCUGGAACUUUUUUUUUAGGAUCUCAGGAACCUUACUUGCAUUUCAACCAGAGGAAUAAUGGUUUAUAUUUAGUUCCUGGACCAUAGUUCCUCUCUAGAUGUAGGUAUUUCUAGUGGUCCAGGGACUAUAGUUGCAGGGUGCUGAACUUCACUCACUAAUCAAACACAAACCUCACGGCUGCUACAACUUGCAUAUAGCUAUAUUCACACAGUAGGCAAGUGCUGGGUGCCAUGCUAGGAUAAGUUGGAUAUUUCUUGUAAUGUUGAUUGAUGUUAAACACAAAUGUUAUGUGGUAAAUUAAUAAUAAUAAUUAAAAGAGGGAAUUCAAGCAUAAAAACAAAAACACAGAGAGCAGCAAUGGAGAGAAAAAGGUAGUGAAGGAGAGAAACAACCCUUUAAAUGUAAAACACAUGAAGAAAGUCCUGAAGGUCUUCUGGCCAAAUAACAAGAAUACAACAUACUUUUUGUUAGUCCUGAUUGGACGUUGAUCAAUUCUCCAGCUUCUUGCAACUGUUGGUUCAGCUCAUCUGCAUCCCACUAUGUAAAGCACACCUGGCUAUGGGAGCCUUUUAGCUCAUACUUGCAGAGUAUGCUUAGUAGUUUGUUCCCACCACAAACAAACCACUCCAGAAUUUGUUUGGGAUUGGUCCAACACUGCCAUGGUUGUUUUGGUCAGCACCCGAGUUUGAUUGCUGUAUUCAGACCUACCCAAAUAAAUCACACCAAGGGGGGAAACAAACUAGCAUCUGAUUCAAUCGGACUUAACAACCCAGGUUUGAAAAUGCCCUUAGUUCCUGAGUUUAGUUUCUGGGCUCCAUAGAACCUGGAACUAUUUGGUCAAAAAGGGGCUGAUGCUUAAUUCAGUUAAUCAUACAAGUCAAAAGGUAUGCUCUUGAGAAUAUCUGUACUGUGUUACACACACUGAAACACAAAAUAGGUCACACAGAGUCAAAGGUUACAAACUGUUGGCUUCUGAACACAACACUGCAACAUCAUAGACUAUGCAACAAUCAUUGAACAUAAACUAUGUAGCAGAGUUGGUGAUCUUCAAAUAGGUGAAGAGAAAUUGUCCAUUAGUCCAAGACUGAUUGUCCUCACCUGUAUGAGGAUCACCAACUCUUCUAUCUUGUGUGAUUUCUGCAUUAAAGUGCUAUUAACAGCAACAGCAGCAUAUACACAGAGUCCAAUUCCACAGCAAAUACAAAGCUAACAUUGGAGAAGUGGUCAUUAAAUCUAAAUACACAGAUUAAAAGAGUAGUAAAAUAGUUGAAAUCAAUCAUUGGCUUAACAUAGUGUAGUGCUGCUUAUCCGAUCAGUCUGAUUAUUUAUCAUUUUGUAGGAGACCAUUAUUGGAAUGUUAAGAACUUCAGCAGCCAAAAGAAAAACAUAACACACAGAGCGGCAAAGUAAGACAUCAUAACUGAGAAAUAACAGUAAUGAUAAAUAAUCAAUCAUAUCUGAUUAGCACUCAGGGAGCCUGUAGUGUUACUUCGGCUGUAUUUAUUUCAUACAAAGUCCUGCUGUUUCUCCUUGCUGUAUUGAAAAGAGCCUGGAGACUGAGCUAGUAAAAACUAGUCAUCUCCUCUUCCUCGUAUUGCUCCUGUAAUAAAAUUUCCCACAUCAUUGGAAUAACAGAUCACCCCCAUUUCACAUAGACACAGACCCUACUUCAUCCGAUUUACUGUGCCAGUAGCUUCCACAGUGAGCUACAGUGGGACCAUCAUGGAAGGAUUUUUGAUGUGUGUGUGGUUUACAUUUGCCAGGGGACUAUAUGCUUCCUGCCUUCUUGAGUGUUAUGCUUCUUUAGGAUGCCUCUUGGAUGCUUUAAUGCACUAUUAACUUGUUUAGCUAAUAUAUUUCUUCUCUUGCCUCAUCUUUUUUAUCUCAGAAAGAUGCUAUGCACUGCGCCCGUCUCCACAUGGAGCCAUAUCUGGGAAUAACAAAAAUUUCUCACACAAAGACGUGAAACAGUGGUGAAAAUUAAAAAUUAGCAAUUUUGCUCUUGGUGAAUUUUGGCAGCGCAGAGGAAAAAAAUAAAAUAAAAUCAACAUCUCCCAGUGUUGUAUAAUCAGGUUUGCUCUCAAGAAAUAACAUGUCACAUUCCCUUAGUCUCAAGUGAGUUACAGUCUUUGUCGAAGAGAAGGAGAUGGUGUACAAGUUCACCUAUCGUGCCUUAGCUUCAGGCUUUUAGAGACUUUCUGUUGUCUUUUAGAAAAUCCUUAAAGAGUAGACAUGAAUCCAGAGCUGUCACUGUAGCUAAGUCAAACACACCCCAUUCAACCCUCUCCCCCCCGAGGUGGUGUGAUGAAAGAAAAAGGUCGAGCCUGUGUUAAUAGCUUACAAAUCUGUCUCAAAACCUUGAGUGAAAUCGAGCAGUAAGUGUAAUAGGGAUGUGCCGAGUUUCUCAGGAUUUCCUCUAUGAGCGCUUUUUAUUCCAUGCGAGAGAGAAUCGGGUCAAAAUAGGACAGAGUUGGCGAAUAUACAGUGGACAUCCCCUGCUGUAACGAUAAUCCUCAGAUAAUAAGUUAGUAGUAAUGACACACCAUUAAUCAAAUGAGAACUCAUUACUACCCGUAUCUCCAUUUGCAUCUGCAUUACAGCAAUUAGGGGAACAAAGCGAUUCUGCCAUAUCCAAAGCACUGUGAAUGAAUUAAGAUGAUCUGAUUACACUGAAGCGUGUGGAAUGUAUACUGGCAGGAUUUCAAUGAAAUGAAUACCAAGCAUUAGUAAAGCUAUAUCAGCUAUGGACUCCUAGUCUUACAGUUAAUGUUGGAACGAUGGUGCCUCACUGUGUGGACAAUAAGAAAAGACUUUAUAGGCAGCUGCCAUCCAUCCGUGACAAUGACAAAUAGGUUAUUUUAUUAGCUUUUUUGUAAUUUUGUUGAUAAUUAGAUAAAUAGAUUUACUUUACUGUACUGUUUACCUACAAUCUGGCCAGUGUAACCAGGAACUUGUUACAUGUAAUUCAAUAGUUUUUUGGUAUACUGUUUAUCAUAUAAUCAAAUACCCAGCGCAUUUACAGUUUGAAACGCUAACCAUACCCUCACUCAUCACUUGAGUAGAACAGACCCCUUGUUAAUGUCAUCACUAACACUUGUGCUUUUCCUGUUAUGACAAGUUCAAAUGUCUGCGGUGAAAAAGGUCUAUUGUAUGCUGUACUCUUGAAUAAUGUAAUUAUUUCUUACUCAUGUAGACAGCAGCAAUGGGCAUAAAGUUAAGGAUUUGAAGUAUGGCACUAGGCUUGUAACAAGUUCCUGAGUCACACCCACACAUCUUCAUAGGAUCAGGAUUGAAAAAAAAUGUCCAAAAUGAGAGGUCUGAGAUCUGCCCACUCUCCCUCACCCUAAUAAGGUUUAAAUUUUUUCACUUCACUGCCUUUGGAAUUGCAUCACAUAGUCAUGUAACAAUGAACCUCGAGCAAAAACCAUGUCAGAAAAAUAUUUUUAAAAAAUGUUAUAUGUGUGAAUUUGACACACUUUUAACAAUGUCAGUUGAGGAAUUAAGGCUAUCAAAUGAGAAAAAUGCACCAAUAUAAUAUUACGUGAGGCACACUGACUGAAAUUAAGAAGACAUUUGAUGAUAUUAAUUCCAAAAAACUAAUUGGACAAAUCAAGUGUCAACGACUGCAGCAGGAAAGGGUCAAGUAGAAUUUACUGUCAUGAAUAUUAAAAAUAAAAACUGCCUAGUAAGUGAUCACAUGAUGACUUUUGUACAUCUGAACCUGCUGCAACUGCAUGUUUUAGAUUCAAUGCACCUUCACUCUUCAAUAAAUCUUUUAAAUGAGUUACUUUUCACUUUAGAUACAUUUUUAUACCAAUAUUUCUAUCUCAAAAAUAUCAUUAAAUAAACAGUGCACUUCUACUUAAGAUAAAUUUGUACUUUUCCUGUUAUUGUUUGCCAUGUAUACUAGAGAUGGGUAUGUCUCUAAAUUUUAAAUGCCCUUCUAUUUCUAAAUUUCUACUGAAUCUCGAAAAAUCCAUUUAAUUAUGUUUUGUCUUGUUUUUUUUAAUACUCCAACUCUGGGUAGCACCAAGGAACAUUCCUGCUCUCAACAAAUCCAACCAGAGAAAUGGAAAGUGAAAGCUAAAAUAAAAGGUUCUCAUUCAUUUCAUAGUGUCUUAGUUUAUUAGGAUCAAGUUGAGAACUUUCUCGGUGGCUGCGGCUCAAAUUAACCUGAUAGGAUAAUGUGAGGCACGGAGCCGUCACAGAGCCUUCAAGGAGGCCUGUCUGAGGGCUGAGGAGGAGUGAAGAGGGUAUCAGGUGGGUGAGAGCCCAAUGGAAGCAGCCACGAGUGAGGAGUGGCCUGCUGACCUUCAUUAAAACGCCUCAGUGAGCUAUGCCAAGCAGUGUGCUGUGUGUGAUAGCGCCUGUUUGCCCACACAGACGGUGACAAAUUGCAUCUAGGAAAGGAGAUAGGGCAGUUAUUAGAGCUGUUCGUAUCAAACAUGGAAACGGGAGAGAGAAUGAGAGGAAAAGAGCAAAGAUGAUUAAACAGCGACCCAGGGAAACAUACAUUUCAUGUGAAGAAGUGUCUUGUCUACAGUUUGCCUCAUUAACAGAUGAUGCAGAUGGGUUAGUGAAGACCUUUUUUGAUGUCUGACCAUUUAAACACCUCACAAACAGUCCGUCAUGAAAUUUUUUUGUAGUAUCUUCAUGCAUACAGAAUUCAUAAAUAGGAGAAAAACAGCUUCCAUUCUCUGUGCUAUCAAACUUAGCAGUGAUAAAAGGAGAGGUGCAUUUGUGUGUGUGUCUGUGUCUGAGCCUGUGUACUUCGACCCAAGAGACUCCCCUGAAGCAAUGAGGUGUGGGUAGAAAUCAAACUUCAUUAGAUCCACAGGUAGUAAGCCCUACGGCGAGCCAGGCAGGCAGUAGAGAAGAAUAGAACUGAACUAAACCACAGAAAACAUGCAAUUGUCUACCAAUUUUAUUUAUUAAUCUUUAUCUUUUUUGUGAUAACUGUGAUAUAAACUAGUAGGGAUGUGCAGAGAGCCCAGUAUUUGUAUUUGUAUCUGUAU
Long non-coding RNA from Thunnus maccoyii (southern bluefin tuna), 7499 nucleotides. RefSeq lists it as uncharacterized. NCBI's taxonomy places the organism in Eukaryota, Metazoa, Chordata, Actinopteri, Scombriformes, Scombridae. The transcript has 3 exons. The record is from RefSeq and is a predicted model, not a curated record.